AGCGAACGCUGGCGGCAGGCUUAACACAUGCAAGUCGAGCGGGCAUCCUUGUGGUGUCAGCGGCAGACGGGUGAGUAACGCGUGGGAACGUGCCCUUCGGUUCGGAAUAACUCAGGGAAACUUGAGCUAAUACCGGAUACGCCCUUUUGGGGAAAGGUUUACUGCCGAAGGAUCGGCCCGCGUCUGAUUAGCUAGUUGGUGAGGUUAUGGCUCACCAAGGCGACGAUCAGUAGCUGGUCUGAGAGGAUGAUCAGCCACACUGGGACUGAGACACGGCCCAGACUCCUACGGGAGGCAGCAGUGGGGAAUAUUGGACAAUGGGGGCAACCCUGAUCCAGCCAUGCCGCGUGAGUGAUGACGGCCUUAGGGUUGUAAAGCUCUUUUCUCCGGGACGACAAUGACGGUACCGGAGGAAUAAGCCCCGGCUAACUUCGUG
This 436-nucleotide ribosomal RNA is filed under the name uncultured bacterium. Its description in RNAcentral is "partial 16S ribosomal RNA". It matches the Rfam family "Bacterial small subunit ribosomal RNA", at positions 29 to 507 of the family's 1533-position model. The record is from RNAcentral.